CAUAUUUUGUUAAAAAUGCACCGAUUAAUAUUUUUUAUUUUACAGUGAAGACGGGCAUCGUAAAAUAAUUUUGUCCGAUCUUAUUGCAUAUUUCAUCAAUGCAUAAUUUUUCCUUGAAAUGUCCAAACAAUCAAUCAUCAAUGCAUAAGUGAUACUUCUCAAAUCUUCCUUUGUCUAUCUUGUUGAGUAUGCAAUUAUAUGUAUGUGCCAGUUUAAAAUGUCCCGUUGAUAUUGGUAUCAAAGCAAAUACCAAUUAGAAUCUAAUAAAAAAAGGAUAUAAUCUGAAAAGAAGAAAACAUAAUUAUAUUGGAAUGAAAAACAAACCUUAUUUCUUCUUGUAGUUAAUAUCCUAUGUGCAUGUGUAUUAAUGUUCGAUUGCUCUACAAAAGGGAAUUGAAGGAAAAAUAUAUUAAAACCAAGAAUAAAUUAACAAAUUAUAAGAGAAUGGAAAGGAGGAGAGUUGUUGUUUCUACUAUCGUUU
This 481-nucleotide long non-coding RNA is filed under the name Medicago truncatula (barrel medic). Its description in RNAcentral is "long non-coding RNA (MTRU_LNC004636)". Lineage: Eukaryota; Viridiplantae; Streptophyta; Magnoliopsida; Fabales; Fabaceae. The record is from RNAcentral.